CGCGUAGGCUGCGGGGCAAGUCGGGUGUGAAAUCUCAGGGCUCAACCCUGAAACUGCACUCGAUACUGCUCUGCUUGAGGACUGGAGAGGAGACUGGAAUUCACGGUGUAGCAGUGAAAUGCGUAGAGAUCGUGAGGAAGACCAGUGGCGAAGGCGGGUCUCUGGACAGUUCCUGACGCUGAGGCGCGAAGGCCAGGGGAGCAAACG
Molecule: ribosomal RNA, 207 nt
Filed under: uncultured bacterium
Lineage: Bacteria
Description: partial 16S ribosomal RNA
Rfam family: Bacterial small subunit ribosomal RNA
Source: RNAcentral